Hippocampus zosterae (dwarf seahorse) is the source of this 703-nucleotide long non-coding RNA. RefSeq lists it as uncharacterized. NCBI's taxonomy places the organism in Eukaryota, Metazoa, Chordata, Actinopteri, Syngnathiformes, Syngnathidae. The transcript has 2 exons. The record is from RefSeq and is a predicted model, not a curated record.
CCCUGGAGCACUGAUUCUGGACCCCCCUGUGGCCCCUCCUCUCCAAACGUGGACUAUACAACAGCGCCUAGUCGCCGAUGACAAAGGUGGAACUAAAGUGCCCGGCUUAACAUUCUAGUCGGGCCAUUUAGUGCUCUGCACCACUGAAAAAAGACGAGCACGAAGAGGAAAAGCAGUCCCAAGAUUACCACGGCGACAAGUUUUGUCUUUCUCCACAGACAUCAGCAAAUGUAAAGAAGAUCCGCUAAUGCAGAACGGAGUUUUUCCACAUUAAAUCUUGGGAAAACAUACCUCACGUCCACAAUGAAUGAUGAUAGAUUAAGUAAUCUCGGUGUACUUUGCAUUGAAUCUCGGGAAGUCAAGAGCACUGAAUCUGGAAUCACUUAGGACUGUGCCAGAAAUCACCAAAACCGCAGAAUACAGUUGCUGUAAUAGUAGGAGCAGCUUAAGACUUUCACAAGAUUGGCACCUAUAUGAAUCUUUUUUCAGCAUUUAAUCAGUGCUACUGUGAUUAUUAUACUGUUUUUCAUUGUUACUGCAAUGUUAUGUCUGCAAAGGUUUGAUGAAAAUAAAAAGUCAAAUAAGAUUUCGAAUCUUUGUCUUUUUUGCCCUGGGUUGAAUGUGCCCCUCUAUCAAAACCCCUGGCCCCAGCCAGGCUCCCUCAGUGAAAUUGAGCUAGAACCACCGCUGCUCCUUUUUCAUU